GGCUAUUGACUUCUUUCCAAAUAUACUGGUUCCUUUAGACAAUUAUAUAUCCAAGAGUACUGCUCACUUCCUCACUUGCAAGGAUCCGGACUACCAACAAAGCCUUUGGAAUAUGAUAUCUUCUGUUAUGGGAGAUAAAAAUUUGGAGGAUGGUGACAUUGAGUCCGCACCUAAGCUUAUUCAAGUUGUAUUCGAGCAUUGCAAGGGACAGGUGGAUCAUUGGGUUGAGCCGUACAUUAGAUUGACAGUUGAACGUCUCCGUCGAGCUGAAAAAUCACAUCUGAAGUGUCUCUUGGUCCAAGUGAUAGCUGAUGCUCUUUACUACAAUGCACCCUUGACAUGGAACAUCCUUCAAAAGCUUGGCCUUGCUCUAGAGGUGUUUAAUCUCUGGUUUCUGAUGUUGGGACAAACAAAAAAGAGCGGAAAACGGGUUAACUUCAAAAGGGAACAUGACAAAAAGGUUUGCUGCUUGGGCUUGACAUCUUUGCUCCCUCUUCCUGUGGAUCAAUUCCCAAGGGAAGCCUUAGAUCGUGUUUUCAAAGCAACUCUAGAUCUGCUUAUUGCCUACAAAGAUCAAGUAGCAGAAGCGGCUAAGGAGGAUGAGGCAGAAGACGAUGAUGAUAUGAAUGGCUUGCAAACUGAUGAGGAUGACGAUGAAGAUGACGAGUCUGACAAGGAAAUGGGGGAUGAUGCUGAGGAAGGGGAUGAAGCUGACAGUACUAGGCUUCAAAAAUUGGCUGCACAGGCA
This 748-nucleotide unclassified non-coding RNA is filed under the name Hevea brasiliensis (rubber tree). The record is from RNAcentral. Lineage: Eukaryota; Viridiplantae; Streptophyta; Magnoliopsida; Malpighiales; Euphorbiaceae.